RNAcentral lists this long non-coding RNA (1083 nucleotides) under Calidris pygmaea (Spoon-billed sandpiper). RNAcentral's name for it is "lncRNA (ENSCPGG00000017522.1)". Lineage: Eukaryota; Metazoa; Chordata; Aves; Charadriiformes; Scolopacidae. The record is from RNAcentral.
GGAACUGGGAGCCUUUCCGCCAGAGUGAUGAUGGAUCAUCAGCUUCACUCUGUCAGAUAGAAAUCUUAAUCUUGCAUAACUGAAGCUCAGGUAUCAUGCAAGACCACUUCUAUUCAUCCAAAGAUGACCGUCUGUAUAGAAGCUGUCAGCAGAGGUCCCUACGGUCUGCCGAAACCUGGAUCUUCCAUUUUUCUUUGAGGAUAUGACGAUGGGCAAAAAUUGUCCCAUCAAGCGCUCCAGUGGCUUCCAAGUGAUGACCAAAAGCCUAUCUCUUCCACAUCCACCAACAAAAGAUGUGCACUGUGGUUGUGAAGAGUACCUACGACCACUUCCACGGCUUCUGGGGACAGCCAAGGCACUGCUGCUCCCCACGGUUCCACGCAGGCUCUCAAGGGUAAGUGUGCCCUCUCUUUGGGGAAAUACAGUAUUAUUCCAUUAAACCCACAAAAUCACAGAAAGAAUUUUUCUUGAUCACUCCAGGAACACUGCCACAUCCUUAUUUAGGUGCUUUAUAAUGAAAUGCGUGCACCUGAAAUACAUCAGAGGUCGUAUGGCUAUGUGCUGUAUAUUUCAAAUAAUUACCUUAGAGAACAUUGGGUGAAAUUAGAACUGAAAAACAUGUAUGAGUGAAUCUGGUGCAGAUAAAAGGAUUAAAUGUAACCUUUCUCACCUGGAAAUACUCUUCACCAAAUCUCACUAAGACUUUUCAGAUACGUUUCAUUAAAAUAAGUCUUUCAGUAAUUAGAUUUAAUUCUACUGUAAAAUGGAAGUCUCUGCCCGACAUUCCUCUAGACUAAUACAGAAAUUUAAAGAAUUUGGAUUGCUCACAGUGAGCAUGUUUUUCUUCUGUAGACAUUGUCCUUGUAAACUCCCUUUAAAAAGCAGACGCCAACAGCUUUCCCCUCCCUUCUUUUAAUAACUCUUUUAGUUUAAAUUCAUAAAAUGUAUGAAUGUGGAGAGGGCCAGAGGGGAAAAACAAAGAAUCAAACAAAAACAUACCACACAACUUCCACGGCUUUAUAUCAACAGAUGAUAUAAAUGCUAUAUAUAUAUGUCUAUCUACAUUAUUAUAUAUAAACGAAG